Long non-coding RNA from Motacilla alba alba, 532 nucleotides. RefSeq lists it as uncharacterized. The transcript has 3 exons. NCBI's taxonomy places the organism in Eukaryota, Metazoa, Chordata, Aves, Passeriformes, Motacillidae. The record is from RefSeq and is a predicted model, not a curated record.
UGGGGGGUCCUGAUUUCAUGCAGGGCCAAAUUCAGUCCUGGUGUAAACAGAACCUUUGAAAACAAGGAAAUUUCUCUCUGUUGCACCCCAUGCUGUAAUUCCUAAAUUAGAGACACCCUGGCAUCAAACCCCAGGGGCUGUAUCCUGAUUUUUGAACCCCACUGAGGUCAGCGACGUGUUGGAGUGAUGCUGUUGAUUUGUGCAGGGGCAGGUCCUGGUCCGUGCAGGCCAGGGGAUGUUUUUGGGGGGACCUCUGGCAGUACCAGUUGUUGGUUUCUCUGUUUCUGUAUUGAAGGCUCUUGAGAUGGUCAUGUUUGGACCCAAGUGUUUAUUAUUUCUUCUCAGUAAAACAGUCUCACUGCUGUGAGUUCUGCAGCUUUUCAUUAGGAGGCACAAAAUGGCCAACAGUCUCUUGGUACAAGGUCUUUUAAGACUAAAUUAUCCAGUUAAGAGUUGACACCUGGAUUAUUCUCCCUUUUAACCCAAUAACUGAUCCCAAAGAGCCCCAAUAUGGGCUUUUCUGCCCAACUAC